This 60-nucleotide transfer RNA is filed under the name Tympanocryptis lineata. RNAcentral's name for it is "tRNA-Cys". The record is from RNAcentral. Lineage: Eukaryota; Metazoa; Chordata; Lepidosauria; Squamata; Agamidae.
AGGCUUAAGGACCAUCUCAGGCCCACCGUUUGAUUUGCACUCAAACAUUCUUUUUAAGCC